ACGUAGGGGGCAAGCGUUAUCCGGAAUUAUUGGGGGAAAAGAGGGGGUAGGGGGUUUUUAAGGGGGGAGGGGAAAGCAAAAAGCUUAAUUAUUGAAACCCUUGCGAACUGGAAGACUUGAGUGCAGGAGAGGAAAGUGGAAUUCCUAGUGUAGCGGUGAAAUGCGUAGAUAUUAGGAGGAACACCAGUGGCGAAGGCGACUUUCUGGACUGUAACUGACACUGAGGCACGAAAGCGUGGGGAGCAAACAG
RNAcentral lists this ribosomal RNA (250 nucleotides) under uncultured prokaryote. RNAcentral describes it as "partial 16S rRNA". It matches the Rfam family "Bacterial small subunit ribosomal RNA", at positions 525 to 775 of the family's 1533-position model. The record is from RNAcentral.